AAGCAAAUGCUUAACUGACUGAGCCACCCAGACACCCCCAGAUUUGAUAUCAUGAGAUGAACAUUUCAGAAACAUCAUUCUGCCUGCAGAGUGAGUAUGGAGGACAAUUAAAUCUGUCGGGAUCCCAACAAAAUCUGAACUACAGUCAUGCAGUAAGAAUAGAGCAAGAGGAUUUAUGUAAAAGUCCAAAGCUGACAGAUUCUGCUCCACAUAAUCUUUCAGGGAUCCAAGCUGACAGAAGCUCUACAAUCUUCAAUUCCUGGCUGCCUUGUAUCCAGACAAGAUAUAACAGAUUGCAAAGAAAGCAUGUUUGUCCUCAACUGCCUCAGACCAAACAGAACACUUCGGGUCCACUCACGGUUCACUGCACAGAACUCAAUCACACCCCCCCCCCCCCCCCGCCAUGUAACUGCAGGGAAAGCUGGGAAAUGAAG
Long non-coding RNA from Suricata suricatta (meerkat), 434 nucleotides. RefSeq lists it as uncharacterized. The record is from RefSeq and is a predicted model, not a curated record. The transcript has 3 exons. NCBI's taxonomy places the organism in Eukaryota, Metazoa, Chordata, Mammalia, Carnivora, Herpestidae.